UACGUAGGGUGCAAGCGUUAAUCGGAAUUACUGGGCGUAAAGCGUGCGCAGGCGGUGAUGUAAGACAGGUGUGAAAUCCCCGGGCUUAACCUGGGAACUGCAUUUGUGACUGCAUCGCUGGAGUGCGGCAGAGGGGGAUGGAAUUCCGCGUGUAGCAGUGAAAUGCGUAGAUAUGCGGAGGAACACCGAUGGCGAAGGCAAUCCCCUGGGCCUGCACUGACGCUCAUGCACGAAAGCGUGGGGAGCAAACGGG
RNAcentral lists this ribosomal RNA (253 nucleotides) under uncultured bacterium. RNAcentral's name for it is "partial 16S ribosomal RNA". It matches the Rfam family "Bacterial small subunit ribosomal RNA", at positions 524 to 776 of the family's 1533-position model. The record is from RNAcentral.